UCGGGAAUUUAGGGCAAUGGGCGAAAGCCUGACCCAGCAACGCCGCGUGAGGGAUGAAGUAUUUCGGUAUGUAAACCUCGAAAGAAUGGGAAGAAUAAAUGACGGUACCAUUUAUAAGCUCCGGCUAACUACGUGCCAGCAGCCGCGGUAAUACGUAGGGAGCAAGCGUUGUUCGGAUUUACUGGGCGUAAAGGGCGCGUAGGCGGCGCGGUAAGUCACUUGUGAAAUCUCUGAGCUUAACUCAGAACGGCCAAGUGAUACUGCUGUGCGAGAGUGCGGAAGAGGCAACCGGAAUUCUUGGUGUAGCGGUGAAAUGCGUAGAUAUCAAGAGGAACACCUGAGGCGAAGGCGGGUUGCUGGGCCGACACUGACGCUGAUGCGCGAAAGCCAGGGGAGCAAACG
Molecule: ribosomal RNA, 402 nt
Filed under: uncultured bacterium
Lineage: Bacteria
Description: bacterial SSU rRNA
Rfam family: Bacterial small subunit ribosomal RNA
Source: RNAcentral